CUACGNNAGGCAGCAGUAGGGAAUCUUGCACAAUGGGCGAAAGCCUGAUGCAGCAACGCCGCGUGCGGGAAGAAGGCCCUAGGGUUGUAAACCGCUUUCAGCAGGGAAGAAAAUGACGGUACCUGCAGAAGAAGGUGCGGCCANNNACGUGCCAGCAGCCGCGGUGACACGUAGGCACCAAGCGUUAUCCGGAUUUAUUGGGCGUAAAGAGCUCGUAGGCGGUUCGGUAAGUCGGGUGUGAAAACUCUGGGCUCAACCCAGAGAGGCCACCCGAUACUGCUGUGACUAGAGUGCGGUAGGGGAGCGGGGAAUUCAUGGUGUAGCGGUGAAAUGCGCAGAUAUCAUGAGGAACACCAGUGGCGAAGGCGCCGCUCUGGGCCGUAACUGACGCUGAGGAGCGAAAGCAUGGGUAGCAAACAGGAUUAGAUACCCUGGUAGUCCAUGCCGUAAACGUUGGGCACUAGGUGUGGGUCUCAACCAACGAGAUCCGCGCCGUCGCUAACGCAUUAAG
This 511-nucleotide ribosomal RNA is filed under the name uncultured bacterium. RNAcentral's name for it is "bacterial SSU rRNA". It matches the Rfam family "Bacterial small subunit ribosomal RNA", at positions 339 to 864 of the family's 1533-position model. The record is from RNAcentral.